CUGGGCUUUCACGAGUCGACC
RNAcentral lists this non-coding RNA (21 nucleotides) under Arabidopsis thaliana (thale cress). The record is from RNAcentral. Lineage: Eukaryota; Viridiplantae; Streptophyta; Magnoliopsida; Brassicales; Brassicaceae.